RNAcentral lists this ribosomal RNA (160 nucleotides) under Valeriana hardwickii. Its description in RNAcentral is "5.8S ribosomal RNA". It matches the Rfam family "5.8S ribosomal RNA". Rfam says of the family: 5.8S ribosomal RNA (5.8S rRNA) is a component of the large subunit of the eukaryotic ribosome. The record is from RNAcentral. Lineage: Eukaryota; Viridiplantae; Streptophyta; Magnoliopsida; Dipsacales; Caprifoliaceae.
AAACGACUCUCGGCAACGGAUAUCUCGGCUCUCGCAUCGAUUAAGAACGUAGCGAAAUGCGAUACUUGGUGUGAAUUGCAGAAUCCCGUGAACCAUCGAGUCUUUGAACGCAAGUUGCGCCCGAAGCCAUUAGGCCGAGGGCACGCCUGCCUGGGCGUCA